UACGUAGGGGGCAAGCGUUGUCCGGAUUUAUUGGGCGUAAAGAGCGUGUAGGCGGCUUUACAGGUCCGUUGUGAAAACUCGAGGCUCAACCUCGAGACGCCGGUGGAAACCGUAAAGCUAGAGUCCGGAAGAGGAGAGUGGAAUUCCUGGUGUAACGGUGAAAUGCGCAGAUAUCAGGAGGAACACCCGUGGCGAAAGCGGCUCUCUGGGACGGUACUGACGCUGAGACGCGAAAGCGUGGGAGCAAACAGG
RNAcentral lists this ribosomal RNA (252 nucleotides) under uncultured bacterium. RNAcentral's name for it is "partial 16S ribosomal RNA". It matches the Rfam family "Bacterial small subunit ribosomal RNA", at positions 524 to 776 of the family's 1533-position model. The record is from RNAcentral.